This is a long non-coding RNA of Xenopus laevis (African clawed frog), 835 nucleotides long. RefSeq lists it as uncharacterized. Lineage: Eukaryota; Metazoa; Chordata; Amphibia; Anura; Pipidae. The transcript has 2 exons. The record is from RefSeq and is a predicted model, not a curated record.
ACGGUAAUAACACAUAAAAACCACGGAAAUGUGUGCAAACUUUAAUUAGGUAAUUAGAGGUGUGGUCACACAAAUGGGCGCGGUCAAAAAUUCUCCCUCUUUGUGUUUCCAAAAUGUUGGGAGGUAUGUGGAAGAAGUGGGAGCCUGCACUUGUUACAGUUCUUAUGUUAAAACUGCGCCUUUGUAUUUGUAAUUUAGCUGCACAGUCGCCUCAACUAUACAGCGCACGUUUUUUUUUGUAAUGGGAGGCAGCACUUCCUGCCAGCGACGUAGCGCAUGACGUCAGUUCUAGCGGCGGAAGUGGGUGUUACCGGAGCAGCGUGGAAGACGAAGAUGGAAGAGGUUCCCUUUGUCCAAAAUGCCUGAAGAUUUAGACACAGAUCAUCUGCUAAAGGCAAUGCAGCUCGACCCUUGUUGACGAAUGAGCCAUUUGCAAGGAAACCUGUGACCGGACUUGUUUCUGCCAUUGGAUAACUCGGAUGUGGUGAGGCACAAUGGUAAGACACAGUAAAUUACAAAAGCAAAUUCUGAGUCUUUACCGACAGUUUUUACAAGCUGGGAAAGAGAAACCUGGGUUUGUACCCCGAAUCAGAGAUGAAUUCCAAAAAAAUGCAAAGAUCCCAAAGACAGACGUUAUGCACAUAGAGUAUCUGCUACGGCGGGGGCAACGGCAACUGCAGCAACUACAGGACGUAAAUACGAAGCAACUGGGAACCUUCAUCAAAUCCCCAACUGACCAGAACCAUUAAUAUCAUUUCUUGUAAAAAGAUCUCGUAUUUGUAUAAAUGUAAUUACACUUUGUAAAUAAAUUAUACAUAAAUUGUUUGCUCUUAAA